This 807-nucleotide ribosomal RNA is filed under the name uncultured bacterium. RNAcentral's name for it is "bacterial SSU rRNA". It matches the Rfam family "Bacterial small subunit ribosomal RNA", at positions 8 to 796 of the family's 1533-position model. The record is from RNAcentral.
AGAGUUUGAUCAUGGCUCAGAGCGAACGCUGGCGGCGUGCCUAACACAUGCAAGUCGAACGUGAACGGCUUCGGCCUAGUAAAGUGGCGUACGGGUGAGUAACGCGUAGGUAAUCUACCCCAGAGUCUGGAAUAACCGACCGAAAGGUUGGCUAAUACUGGAUAGAGCGACGGAAUCCGUAAUUGGGUUUUUCGGGAAAGGGAGGCAGCAAUGCCCCUCGCUUUGGGAUGAGCCUGCGUCUCAUUAGCUAGUUGGUAAGGUAAUGGCUUACCAAGGCUUUGAUGGGUAGCUGGUCUGAGGGGAUGAUCAGCCACACUGGAACUGAAACACGGUCCAGACUCCUACGGGAGGCAGCAGUGGGGAAUCUUGCGCAAUGGACGAAAGUCUGACGCAGCCACGCCGCGUGAGUGAAGAAGGCCUUCGGGUUGUAAAGCUCUGUCGGGCGGGACGAAAAUCUUAACAGUUAAGAGCUGGUAAGACUGACGGUACCGCCAAAGGAAGCACCGGCUAACUUCGUGCCAGCAGCCGCGGUAAUACGAGGGGUGCAAGCGUUGCUCGGAAUUAUUGGGCGUAAAGGGUAGGUAGGUGGUCUCAUUUGUCUGGGGUGAAAUCCUUGAGCUUAACUCAAGAAGUGCCCCAGAAACGGUGAGACUUGAGUACUGGAGAGGGUCGUGGAAUUCCCGGUGUAGCGGUGAAAUGCGUAGAGAUCGGGAGGAACACCAGCGGCGAAGGCGGCGACCUGGACAGUAACUGACACUCAACUACGAAAGCGUGGGGAGCAAACAGGAUUAGAUACCCUAGUAGUCC